UACGUAGGGUGCGAGCGUUGCUCGGAAUCACUGGGCGUAAAGGGUGCGUAGGCGGGUCUUUAAGUCAGGGGUGAAAUCCUGGAGCUCAACUCCAGAACUGCCUUUGAUACUGAGGAUCUUGAGUUCGGGAGAGGUGAGUGGAACUGCGAGUGUAGAGGUGAAAUUCGUAGAUAUUCGCAAGAACACCAGUGGCGAAGGCGGCUCACUGGCCCGAUACUGACGCUGAGGCACGAAAGCGUGGGGAGCAAACAGG
This 253-nucleotide ribosomal RNA is filed under the name uncultured bacterium. RNAcentral's name for it is "partial 16S ribosomal RNA". It matches the Rfam family "Bacterial small subunit ribosomal RNA", at positions 524 to 776 of the family's 1533-position model. The record is from RNAcentral.